UGAUCUUUCUUGAAGUUCUUUUCUGUCUGUCUUGAACUGGAGUUACUCUGUUCAGAAGCAUGGUUUCAUGUGGUUUUCAAGGGAAACUGGAAGAGCUCAAGAAGCAUCCUGACUUAACUCUGCCAUCUUGGCUCUACCUCCAGAAACUCUGCCAUCUUGGCUCUACCUCCAGAAGUAAUCUGUUUAAAUUCUUAAAUAUGAAUUGUUUCUUUAUUCUAGAAGAGAUAUCAUGAUUGCUGUCAGGAGUGAAUCACCAGGUGUAGUCAGUUUUCUUCUUGAAUAUGAUAUGAUUUCUCUUGCCAAAAUACAUGGAUGGAAAGCCAAAGAGUGUGCUAUUGUCAGUGAUUAUUCUAGAAGGAAUGCAGUCAGCACCUUUCACUUCACAUCAGCUGUUCCAGUACUGGAUUUACUUUGGAUGGACCUGCCUUGGACAAAGAAGGGAAAAGGACAGAUGACUGCAGAUGCUCUUGAGGAACUUAAUCAUGUGACACAGGUACAUAAGAUUAUGAUUUGGCUCCCUCAAAUUAUAAGAAUAUUAUGUUAUUGGUUGAGCAACUUAUUGUUGUUUAAAGGUAAGAAUAUUUUUAAAUUUUCUAACAGAAUACCAACAUUAAACAGAAACAUAUCUUGUGUUUAUAUCCAAGAAGAGAUCACUGAAGUCUUAUUCCAUUGA
RNAcentral lists this long non-coding RNA (673 nucleotides) under Sarcophilus harrisii (Tasmanian devil). RNAcentral describes it as "lncRNA (ENSSHAG00000023162.1)". Lineage: Eukaryota; Metazoa; Chordata; Mammalia; Dasyuromorphia; Dasyuridae. The record is from RNAcentral.